UGACGUUGCAGAAGCCAGAGGCCAGGGCUA
Molecule: non-coding RNA, 30 nt
Filed under: Homo sapiens (human)
Lineage: Eukaryota; Metazoa; Chordata; Mammalia; Primates; Hominidae
Source: RNAcentral